AAGGAUUCGGCCUUUUACAUCCGGGAAGCGUCGAGUUUAGGUUAAGGUACGGCGUCGUGUUUCGUGCGCUAAAAUACUUGAGACAGAACUUUUCGGCCAAGUUUAAAAUGCAGGAGAUGCAACAGUCUUGUAGAAGUAGAUCGACGUCAGCUUGGAAAACCUCUAGGUUCAAACGCCUGAGUGGACUUAAAUGUUCACUGAUUCUCGGGGCAGCCACGUUCAGCCGGGGGCGCUGAGUCGGAAAACUAGCGCGCGUGGGCCGUGGGCCUUCCGGCAAAGUUUAAAUGCAGCUGAUGACUCCGGUGAAGAAGGUCAUUAGUUCCGCUGUUGGUGUCAUGUGGCCAUCUUGAAUCUACUCCGCCACUAUUAAAUAGUAACACCGCAUCCUGAUAACCCGCCAGUUUGAUCCAGGUGGAAGCUGAGCUAAUUGUUCCAAUGGAUGAUGCAAAACAUAACAAGAAGUCAAGAAAUCCAAAGCGAUAUGGGUGAAGUCUUACUUAGCAUCCUGAAGUACACGGCCAAAUGUGAUUUUAAAUCUCAAGUAUGGUAUUUAAAUGGAGAAUAAAUAAGUGCUUCCUUGCUAUAUCAAUAAAAUGCUUGAUUUGUACAGAUGUCAGUGUUCCCUGACUGAAUGACCAAUAAGUGCAAAGAUGUAGUGUGUAAAGGAAGGUGAUUGAUUCACUUCCCUGAUGAAGUAAUAAUUCCAGCAGCUGUACUCCAGCCUUCAGUUUGGCUCACAGAUCAGCAUAGCGUCGUGAGAAGGCAUGUACUCUGCCCUGAUUCUAUUAUAUCAUCCAGGAAAUGUUUCCACUUCUUAAGGUUUAUCUCAGGAUUGGUCGCAGAGCUUUUUCAGUACUGUAUAUCUGCUACAGAUGUUCUACAUUUUGCUGCUAUGAAAUAAUUGUUAAUUACUUUUAAUGGAGAGCAGUCAACCCAAUCAUUUCUCCUUACUCAGUAGUCAUUUGUGAGUCGAGCACCUAAUCCAGGUGAGACCUAGAUGUUUCGAAGACCAUCCUGAGCAAGCACUAGCUGAUGUUAACUCUAGCAAGACAA
This is a long non-coding RNA of Balaenoptera musculus (blue whale), 1053 nucleotides long. RefSeq lists it as uncharacterized. The record is from RefSeq and is a predicted model, not a curated record. The transcript has 5 exons. NCBI's taxonomy places the organism in Eukaryota, Metazoa, Chordata, Mammalia, Artiodactyla, Balaenopteridae.